CAUGACGAUUAGCAUGUGCAUUCUGCCAGCUGCAGCCCAAGACUGAUUACUCACUGAAGCUAAGCAGGGCUGAGUAUGGUCAGUACCUGGAUGGGAGACCUAGGGAAAACUAGGCUAAUGUUGUCAUAU
RNAcentral lists this ribosomal RNA (129 nucleotides) under Danio rerio (zebrafish). Lineage: Eukaryota; Metazoa; Chordata; Actinopteri; Cypriniformes; Danionidae. The record is from RNAcentral.